Lepus europaeus (European hare) is the source of this 1047-nucleotide long non-coding RNA. RefSeq lists it as uncharacterized. Lineage: Eukaryota; Metazoa; Chordata; Mammalia; Lagomorpha; Leporidae. The record is from RefSeq and is a predicted model, not a curated record. The transcript is spliced from 2 exons.
GAGGAAGAGGGAGAAAAGAAACAAAGCGAGAGCCAGCCCGGAGUUUGAGCAGUGCGCCUCAUUAACAUUCUCAAUUAGCUUGGAGCCUCCACAGCCCUCAGUGGUGGCUGAAAUCGCUGCUACCUCCCGUUCCCCAGUGGGACCACUGGUACUGUGGACGCGAAUGCAGCACGCACCAAGAAGCCAUUGGGAACACGGGGGAUCACCCCUGCGAUUGAGAACCACCCCUCCCUGGGCUGCAGCGUGGGAAAUGUCUCCCCUGCCAUCCAGGAGGCUGCAGAGCGGGAUGGGGCCAGAACAAUCAACCCGAACAGGAUGCACACUGCCGUGCACGCUGUGAUCACAACUCUGCUGAGAUAUAUCUGCCAGUGGCUGGCUCUGGAAAUGAGUGAGCAAAAGUGAAAACAGCUGUGGCGUGGUGGUAAGACUAGGGAUGAGGUUUCUCUUGCGGUUCUCAGUUUUUUAACUGAGAAUGUCAUUGUACAGAUCUUAUACAAUGUCAACACACAGACCUUGUAGUGAAAGGUAUGCUGCUACAUUUUCUCAGUGUAGAAAAUGCUUUUCUCUGAACAUUUCCUGUAGGUGAAUCAUUUGAGUGAUCAUAUGAUCUGUUGAAAAAUUUUAGAAGCUAAGAAUAAGCAAGUUGAUUAAUCUCAUAAAUAUUCUAAGGGCGGUCGGCGCCGUGGCUUAACAGGCUAAUCCUCCGCCUUGCGGCACCGGCACACCAGGUUCUAGUCCUGGUCGGGGCGCUGGAUUCUAUCCCGGUUGCCCCUCUUCCAGGCCAGCUCUCUGCUAUGGCCCGGGAAGGCAGUGGAGGAUGGCCCAAGUCUUUGGGCCCUGCACCCGCAUGGGAGACCAGGAGAAGCACCUGGCUCCUGGCUUCGGAUCAGUGCGAUGAGCUGGCCACAGCGGCCAUUGCGGGUGAACCAACGGCAAAAAGGAAGACCUUUCUCUGUCUCUCUCUCUCUCACUGUCCACUCUGCCUGUCAAAAAUAAAAUUCAAAAAAAAAAAAAAAAAAAGGCUUAAUGUGGCAUUUACUUCAGUCC